RNAcentral lists this ribosomal RNA (480 nucleotides) under uncultured bacterium. RNAcentral describes it as "bacterial SSU rRNA". It matches the Rfam family "Bacterial small subunit ribosomal RNA", at positions 22 to 518 of the family's 1533-position model. The record is from RNAcentral.
GGUCAGGACGAACGCUGGCGGCGUGCCUAACACAUGCAAGUCGAGCGAGGAGAUUCCUUCGGGAUGAUCCUAGCGGCGGACGGGUGAGUAACACGUGGGCAACCUGCCUCAUAGAGAGGAAUAGCCUUCCGAAAGGGAGAUUAAUACCUCAUAACAUUGCAGUUUCGCAUGGAACAGCAAUUAAAGGAGUAAUCCGCUAUGAGAUGGGCCCGCGGCGCAUUAGCUAGUUGGUGAGGUAAUGGCUCACCAAGGCGACGAUGCGUAGCCGACCUGAGAGGGUGAUCGGCCACAUUGGGACUGAGACACGGCCCAGACUCCUACGGGAGGCAGCAGUGGGGAAUAUUGCACAAUGGGGGAAACCCUGAUGCAAGCAACGCCGCGUGAGUGAUGACGGCCUUCGGGUUGUAAAGCUCUGUCUUCAGGGACGAUAAUGACGGUACCUGAGGAGGAAGCCACGGCUAACUACGUGCCAGCCGCUGC